GCGGACGUGGCGAAACCGGUAGACGCAGCGGACUUAAAAUCCGCUUCCCCCAGGGAGUGUGGGUUCGAGUCCCACCGUCCGCACCA
Molecule: transfer RNA, 86 nt
Filed under: Sphingomonas sp. SUN039
Lineage: Bacteria; Pseudomonadati; Pseudomonadota; Alphaproteobacteria; Sphingomonadales; Sphingomonadaceae
Description: tRNA-Leu
Rfam family: tRNA
About the family: Transfer RNA (tRNA) molecules are approximately 80 nucleotides in length. Their secondary structure includes four short double-helical elements and three loops (D, anti-codon, and T loops). Further hydrogen bonds mediate the characteristic L-shaped molecular structure. tRNAs have two regions of fundamental functional importance: the anti-codon, which is responsible for specific mRNA codon recognition, and the 3' end, to which the tRNAs corresponding amino acid is attached (by aminoacyl-tRNA synthetases). tRNAs cope with the degeneracy of the genetic code in two manners: having more than one tRNA (with a specific anti-codon) for a particular amino acid; and 'wobble' base-pairing, i.e. permitting non-standard base-pairing at the 3rd anti-codon position.
Source: RNAcentral